RNAcentral lists this ribosomal RNA (468 nucleotides) under uncultured bacterium. RNAcentral describes it as "partial 16S ribosomal RNA". It matches the Rfam family "Bacterial small subunit ribosomal RNA", at positions 28 to 507 of the family's 1533-position model. The record is from RNAcentral.
GACGAACGCUGGCGGCGUGCUUAACACAUGCAAGUCGAACGGAAAGGCCCUGCGUUUGUGGGGUGCUCGAGUGGCGAACGGGUGAGUAACACGUGAGUAACCUGCCCUUGACUGUGGGAUAUCUUCAGGAAACUGGGGCUAAUACCGGAUAGGAGCUCCUGCUGCAUGGGGGGGGUUGGAAAGAUUCGGCGGUGGGGGAUGGACUCGCGGGUUAUGAGCUUGUUGGGGGGGUAGGGGCUUACCAAGGUUUUGACGGGUAGCCGGCCCGAGAGGGGGGCCGGCCACCUUAGGCCUGCGAGAGGCACCAGUCUCCUACGGGAGGCAGCAGGCGGGAGUCUUGCACAAUGGGCGCACGUCUGAGGCAGCAGCCCCGCGUUCGUGAAGACGGCCUUCGGGUUGUAAACCGCUUUCGCCUGUGACGAAGCGUUAGUGACGGUAAUGGGUCAAGAAGCACCGGCUAACUACGUG